This 207-nucleotide unclassified non-coding RNA is filed under the name uncultured Spizellomycetales. RNAcentral's name for it is "sequence contains ITS2". Lineage: Eukaryota; Fungi; Chytridiomycota; Chytridiomycetes; Spizellomycetales. The record is from RNAcentral.
GACUUCUUCACCCCUUGUGGGUGAGAUUUGGGUUUAUCACUGCAAAGUGAUUUGCCUUAAACCUAUAGGCUGGUACUGUAACAUCUCUAGUAAGGUGCCAAAGUGUAUGAAGGGUUCGCCCACUUCCUUUGGUGCUAAGCUUAGUUGCUGGACUGGUCCCAACGGGAGUGAUCCCAAUUAGACUAGCUCUUCGUGGUUAGUCUGAAA